ACUUAGCCAACAAGAUUUUGACUUUUCUUAUUGGUUUCUCACUUCUGCCUUAUCCAGUAAGACAAACCCCUAAACCACCCUCGCUAAGAUUACUCUCUAAAAGCCAUUAUUAUUAACAGUUGGAGAUAUUAUGAUGAAUUUUCCCAUAUUUCUAUUUUAUUUUAUUUUGUUUUUUUCCUCUAAAAAUAGUUGACCCAUUCAUGGUUGACUUAAUGUGCUUAUGUCCAACAUCUUUUGUGUUGUGGUAAUGGAAUGAUUUCGUAAACUGAUGGAUGUUAAACUUGCAGGGCAUUCACAAUUAACAUAGCAGAACAUAUUAGAAUCCUUGUAACUAACAUAUAAAGAGACGUGAAGCGAACACGCAAACACUUAAUUAACUUAAGCAAAGACCAUGCAAGUUCAUUGUAUCAUAG
RNAcentral lists this long non-coding RNA (413 nucleotides) under Capsella rubella. RNAcentral describes it as "long non-coding RNA (CRUB_LNC001398)". Lineage: Eukaryota; Viridiplantae; Streptophyta; Magnoliopsida; Brassicales; Brassicaceae. The record is from RNAcentral.